CAGUAGCCACGGUAAUACGAAGGGUGCAAGCGUUACUCGGAAUUACUGGGCGUAAAGCGUGCGUAGGUGGUGGUUUAAGUCCGUUGUGAAAGCCCUGGGCUCAACCUGGGAAUUGCAGUGGAUACUGGGUCACUAGAGUGUGGUAGAGGAUAGUGGAAUUUCCGGUGUAGCAGUGAAAUGCGUAGAGAUCGGAAGGAACAUCUGUGGCGAAGGCGACUAUCUGGGCCAACACUGACACUGAGGCACGAAAGCGUGGGGAGCAAACAGGAUUAGAUACCCUCGUAGUCCCUGUCUCUUAUAC
Molecule: ribosomal RNA, 301 nt
Filed under: uncultured bacterium
Lineage: Bacteria
Description: partial 16S ribosomal RNA
Rfam family: Bacterial small subunit ribosomal RNA
Source: RNAcentral